This 30-nucleotide non-coding RNA is filed under the name Mus musculus (house mouse). Lineage: Eukaryota; Metazoa; Chordata; Mammalia; Rodentia; Muridae. The record is from RNAcentral.
UGAGGUCAUGGGCCUUUUAAACCAGUCUGU